This 371-nucleotide ribosomal RNA is filed under the name fungal sp. Its description in RNAcentral is "eukaryotic LSU rRNA". The stretch from base 18 to 171 matches the Rfam family "5.8S ribosomal RNA". The record is from RNAcentral. Lineage: Eukaryota; Fungi.
UACUAUAUAAUAGUUAAAACUUUCAACAACGGAUCUCUUGGUUCUGGCAUCGAUGAAGAACGCAGCGAAAUGCGAUAAGUAAUGUGAAUUGCAGAAUUCAGUGAAUCAUCGAAUCUUUGAACGCACAUUGCGCCCUCUGGUAUUCCGGGGGGCAUGCCUGUUCGAGCGUCAUUACAACCCUCAAGCUUUGCUUGGUAUUGGACAUUGCCAGUUUCUGGCAGGUCUUAAAAUCAGUGGCGGUGCCAUUUGGCUUCAAGCGUAGUAAUUCUUCUCGCUUUGGAGAUCCAAGUGGUUACUUGCCAAUAACCCCCAAUUUUUUCAGGUUGACCUCGGAUCAGGUAGGGAUACCCGCUGAACUUAAGCAUAUCAAU